This 98-nucleotide signal recognition particle RNA is filed under the name Solirubrobacteraceae bacterium. RNAcentral describes it as "Bacterial small signal recognition particle RNA". It matches the Rfam family "Bacterial small signal recognition particle RNA". Rfam says of the family: The signal recognition particle (SRP) is a universally conserved ribonucleoprotein involved in the co-translational targeting of proteins to membranes. Archaeal SRP consists of a 7S RNA and homologues of the eukaryotic SRP19 and SRP54 proteins. In most bacteria, the SRP consists of a 4.5S RNA and the Ffh protein (a homologue of the eukaryotic SRP54 protein). The record is from Rfam by way of RNAcentral. Lineage: Bacteria; Bacillati; Actinomycetota; Thermoleophilia; Solirubrobacterales; Solirubrobacteraceae.
GCGUCGGCACCUUGCGACGUCGGUCCGCCAACCAGGUCAGGUCCGAGAGGAAGCAGCCUCCCGCGGUCGCCAACGGGCGCGAGGAACUCCGAGCCGGA